Helianthus annuus (common sunflower) is the source of this 1700-nucleotide long non-coding RNA. RefSeq lists it as uncharacterized. Lineage: Eukaryota; Viridiplantae; Streptophyta; Magnoliopsida; Asterales; Asteraceae. The transcript is spliced from 7 exons. The record is from RefSeq and is a predicted model, not a curated record.
UAAAUGUUCUAAAAACCCUAAAUCCGCAUCACUUCCACUGCCGCUUCUCUUCUCUCUUUGUGACCAUUCUUCAGCCAUUUCUUCUCAUCUCUGAUCGCAUCAACAAUCAUUAAGCAUGAGCAUAUUGGUGUUAAUCAUUUAUUCUUGGUUCCAGUUUUCGAUUCUUAGUAUAAAUAAUUUCUUAUCAUUUGCAUUUUCCCUUUUUCUCCAAACCCUAACCAAAGAGAAAUCAAUCGAAACAAAGAUCUCUAAAGCAAUCGUGUGGUAACUCAAUUGGCGGUGGUGGUAGUGGUGGUGCAAUGUUUUCGAUUCAACCAACCAUCAAUCUCUCUUAUCAUCAUUGACUCAAUUUCUAGGGUUUCAACAUGAGCAGAUCCGGUCAACCUCCAGAUCUUAAAAAGUAUAUGGACAAACAAUUGUAGAGUAAGUUUUCGCUUUUGUAAUUGACAUGUGAAAUAAUGUUGCUACACUCUUUUAUAUCGUAGAUGAUUUAGAAGAUUGAGUACUUUGCUUCAAAUAUGAUUAUAGGUCGCACUUGCAUAUGUUUAAAUCAAGUUUGUUGGUUGGUUUUUUUAGGACACAGCAAAUUAUACUUUGUAUGAUGGAUCUAAAUGACUAAGAUUUUAAUAGGAUACUGAAGUCAAGAUUGGUCAAAGCCAGGAAUUGUCACGGUUAAUGGAUGAUAACAUGACCGAUUUGACAAUGGGGGGACUUUUUACGUUAGAGGGAAACAGUGAUACUGAAGUCAAGAUUGGUCAAAGUCAUGAUUGGUACAUGUUUGCAUAAGCAUUUACUUCAUUUAUGCGACUCUAAUCUUCAAUGGGAACCAUUGCAGGUGUUUUGUCUGUUAGUGCUAGAGAAGUUGUCAAUAGGCAGCUUUAAGUUAGUGAAGGGUGUAUAGAAACUAAAAAAGAAGUUGAUCCCUUGACAAAGAUAAAGCUGCAGCUUUUUCCAAUUGAUGAAGUUACUAGACUUGGAUUAGAGAAGGAUGGUCUUAAUCCAUUCCUCGAACUCACACUCAAAGCUAGGAAGAAGAUAUCUUCUGUCAUCAAACACAUCCAUACAAAAUGGGGUGGGUCCCACAUAGCUGUAGGAGAGCCAAUGCUUUUGCCUUAUGAUACGCACCUUAGACAAUCACCUAUGAGCAGAAGAUGGACGUCAAAAGACUCCAGUAUUAGUGCAGGAGAUGUUUAUAUGGCUGUACAAAGUCCUGCUAUAUUUCGCUUAAGAUGAAUACUGAAAUCUGAUUGGACAGAGGUAUCUAUGCUGCUUCUUGAUGUGGACUUUUGAUUGUUAAUGGAGGUUGAUGAUGAGGAUUCUGAAGACCAUUCACUUAUGGAACUUGCAGGUGAUAUGCUUGAAGAAAGGUUUAAAUUAACAGGUCAUGGAGUAGGGCUGCAAAAGAGAAACAAUACUGUGACAGCCACCUGGCACCUUUCUAUAGAAUCGAGCUUGUGACGAGGUAUCUACAUACAUGAGUGUUUCACCUUCUGAAAAUUUUUGAUUUAUUGUUUGGAAAUGUUUUGGUGUUUUAAAACUUUGUUAAUAACAACACUUGACAUUUUAUUUCGUUUGUAGUAGCUAGGAUGAUCACUAUAUAAGUGGUGGUUCAAGUAUACAUCUGUCAUGUUUGUUGGCCGCAGAUUAAUUUGUGGUAACUUCAUGACUCAUGCUUUUACAACCAGGUAUUUUUUAGUCCA